AGGAAGGAGGAGGGGGAGGAAUCUUGCAAUCUGAAUAAAAACAUCUUUGGGCCUCAUUUGCGCCCCAGGCCCCCCAGGCUCCGCCAGGCUGGUGGGGUGGAGGUGCAGGCAGUGGUGGAGAGCUGAGUCCUGGACUGGCCUAGCAGACCCCAGUCCUGGCUGCACGGCCUCAACCACGUGACUUUGAGGGGCAGCUCCUCCUCUUGACACCCCAGCUGUUCACCCGCACAGCCUGGAGCCCACCCUGCUGUCGGGGCUGCGGUGAGAAUCUGCUGAGGGCCUGUGUUGCAGGGUCUGGUGUCGCCCAGGGAAGUUCUGCACCAGGUCGAAUCUCCAGGCCUCCUAUUGUGUUUUAAUCACAGCCUACCUGUCUAGACCUAGUGUGUCCUACAGGGUGUGCGGUGGCCAGGCCCCAGGGGGCCCCAGGGACCCUCAACUCCCAGCAUCUGUCACCUCCUGCCCUCCCGUGGUCUUCUGGGCUUGGUCUGUGCAACCCACAGCCCUUGGUGGGAGUGUUGGUGUGUGGCUUCCUGGGCGCCCAGGGCCCCUCGGCGGGGCUGGUUAGAACCGGUACUGUGGCACAGACAGCAGCUGGUGCCAGGUGGCCCUGGCCGGAGACACUCAGGGUACAUGGACGUGCAAAGAUAGCAGGCAGCCGAACACCUGUCACCGUCCCAUGUCACGUAAGGGGAGCAGUGCACAUCGGCACUGGCCGUGUGAGCCUGUGGUGUGUAAAUUCCUCCAGGGAACGGGUUCACCAGCCCUGCGGAGAGCCGUGCGUGCAGCUGGCACGGGGGGUCCCUGAGGAGAUCCUGGCCCUGCUGUGCUUGACUCCGCGGGGGACGCUCAGCCCUCCUCGACAGAUGGUCCUGCCCUCCUCUCUCUCUCCCUGCCUGCCGUGCGCCCGCCCUCACUGUGGCCUCUGGACUCCUGCUGGAGUCUCCUUGAUGACAUUUAAGUCACAGCUCCACCUGGAAUUCAACUUGGGCUCAGACACCCCAACCCUCUGGGAUGGAAAAGAAGAAAAUGGAGAGUGUGGGGCAGACGCGGCCGAGCCGAGGGCAGGUCAGCACAGCCUCAUGUCCGGCAGAGGGUGUCCAGGUUCUUGGCACCAUGAACAAAGAAUUGGACAAAAUGCACAAAGCAACGGAAGAAGGACGCAGCAAAGGCAGAGAUGUGUGGAACAUGAACGCGCACUCCACAGUGGGAGCCGGGCUGAGCACAGGGGCUCGGGAGCCCUGUUACAGAACUGCCUGGGGUCUAAAUAUGCUCCAGAGGUUUCCACUGGUUACUUGGUAUAUGCCCUAUGUAAACGGAGAGGUUAUUUCCUGUCGUAGCUGAUGUGUUUCCAUUUGAUUUUGUUCUACGGAGUCAGCGUGAAAUAGCCUUAGGUUCCCAGGCUCCAGAUCCUCUUCUCCCUCACUGGGUCCCAGUCAUUGCCCCAUUGUCUGGAUCUCGGAGGCUGCCCCUGGUGCUGGCUGAAGCCCAACCACCAUCCCCGAAGGCCGCUCCUUCCCAGGAUGUCCAGAGGCUCUCGGUGCGUCGUUUCCCAGGUGGCCCCUGACGACUGAGGGCUCCAGGCUCUGCACAGUCCACGCUGCCACUGGGAUCGGAAGGGCAGAUUCCUCCCUCCUUCCGUCACUCAUUCACUCACCAAUGGGGCACCUGCCAUGGGCCAGGAGCAGAGUAGAGGGUGUUGGAAGCGAACCCAUGGGUGGGCGGUCGGGUGGGGAGGGAAGCCUGCCUGCCUCUGCCCACAGGAGCCCAGGCCUGACACGGCACCAGGACACAGGCCCCUGCCCCACACGGCAGCAUGGAUUCCCACGGCCCAGGCCUGGCAUGGUUCAGAGGAGGACGUGGACACCAGGUCCACUGGGGGCUGCCUGGACACCCUGGAAACUGUGUGCACCACCCGGGUGGCCGUGGGAGUGCGGCGCUCAGCCUGAGAAGGACCCAGCGUCGGAAGCCCCUGCAGGCGCCAGAGCCGGCCCUCGGACACUUCACCAAAGGAAACUGCAGCCUCGUCUGGGCUCCGACGGCCCUUCCUUGAGGUCUUGCCGUUUCUCUCAUUUGGUGGAAGAGGUCACGGCCUGUGGCACCCAGGCCCCGGCUUUGACGGCGAUGCUGAGCCCCGAACCCCCGGCCUCAGCCUCAUCUUGCCAAGAGGAUGAUCCUGUGGAAAGGUGAAGUCGCUCCCGAAAUUGGGGGGCGGCUCUGAGCCCCCAGUUGGGUUUGCUAAGGCUUGGACCGGUGCUGCCAAAGGCCCUUCCGACCACGUCAUGGGCAGGGCGCAGGGCCAGAGCCAGGGCCACCCUGCAAGAGCCAAGCCCCUGGAGACCACUGCCGGUGGGGAAAUUGGGGAAAUAGGUGCUCUGGAGGUAUUUGGGGGAAGGGUGAAGGAGGAGCCGACUGCAGCCCAGGCCCCCCUGCCCCCGCUUGCUGGGGUUGGGACCUCGGCUCCUCUGCCCCAGUGGGAUCAGCUGCUCCAAGCCCCGCCACAGUCGGGAGGCCCUUGGAGGGGCUCAGGGAGCAGAGCCCGCUGUGGUGGGUGGGGCAGCCUUGGUAGUGGAGGGGGCUCCUGAACCGCCCAUUCUCUGGGGCACUUGCCUCCCUCCUGUGCCCUAGGCAAGAUACCAGAGGAGGGGGCUUGGAGGCCCCAGGCCUGAUUGGACGCCGCCCUCAGCAGUGAGUAAAAAGCCGUGGGGUGAGGCCGAGGCUGGUGGCUGGCCUGGGCCGUCCCAAGCCUCGGUCCCACUGAAUCAUCACACGCACCCUGCACGAAAGGGAAACUGAGGCCUAGAGAGGCAGGGCUGAUCCAAGGUCACCCAGGGUCUCCUGGCUGGGUUGGGCUGCCUGACCCUGACCCUGGGCUCUUCAGCCCCGCACCACAUCCCUCUCGGACUGGGACCCAGGCACCCUCUGGGCCUCCGUGGUCCUGUGUGAGCUCCAGCCGUGGCCGUGUCAGAGGCCGGAGUUCUGUGUCUGCUCUGGUACUUCCUGCCACGGAGCCCGACUUGCCCGGGCUCCCUGCUCCUCAGAGGCUCCACUUAGACACAGGUGUGCUGGGUGCGAGAGGCCGUGCAUAGGGCACAGCUGCUCUGGGCAGGGAAGUGCUACUGCAGUGUGGGCCCCUCCUCCCUUGGGUCUCCUCCCUUCUGUCUCCUGAUGCCUCCCCGCCCCUGUCCUCUCCAUCCACCUCUGUCCUCUGUCUCCCAGCCCAGACAUCAUCCUGGCAGGAGAAGGACCCUGUGGGGUGCACUCUGCCCCUCACUCCCACCCCAGCCUGUGACCUAAGAGCUCCGGAUGGGACAUCCAAAGGCGUGACCUCCUGUUGGCUCCUACAUCUGGGGCCAUAUGCCCCAAGGUCCCACGUGCCCUGGCCAGCGCCCCUUGGAGCCCUCACCCGCCCUCCCUGACUCCCUAGGGAGAGUGUGGACCGCCCCGCCUGCUGCAGAGGCCUGGGCAGCCAGCCCAGAGGGCUCACCUCAUCUAUUUUUAAGCACAAGCCCAUGAAAGAUUCACAGGCUGCUUUAUUUACAGGUGGUGGGAAUGGCAUUGCGCCCAGCACACCCACCAGGAGGCCGGACAACCCGUUGGCCAGGGCUGGGCGCGGUGGCUCACAUCUGUAAUCCUAGCACUUCGGGAGGCCGAAGCGGGCAGAUCACUUGAGGUCAAGAGUUUGAGACCAGCCUGGCCAACAUGACAAAACCCUGUCUCUAUUAAAAAUACAAAAAUUAGCCGGGUGUGGUGUCGGGCGCCUGUAAUCCCAGCUACUCAAGAGGUUGAGGUA
This is a long non-coding RNA of Pan troglodytes (chimpanzee), 3790 nucleotides long. RefSeq lists it as uncharacterized. The transcript is spliced from 3 exons. The record is from RefSeq and is a predicted model, not a curated record. NCBI's taxonomy places the organism in Eukaryota, Metazoa, Chordata, Mammalia, Primates, Hominidae.